GCGGAAGAGGGCGGCAGGAGGAGAAGUCUCGGAGAAGACCGCGGAAAGGAGGCACAAGAGGCUGAUCAAGAACCGGGAGUCAGCGGCACGGUCGCGAGCAAGGAAGCAGGUGGGUCACUCUACUUCCCCACCGUGGAGUCAUCUACAGCGAAGGCAGGGUGUUGGCUUCCUCUUCUCCGUUUUAAGGUUGCUUCACUCUUUACACAGGCUUACACGAAUGAGCUGGAGAACAAGAUCUCCCUCCUACAAGAAGAGAAUGAGAGGUUGAAGAAGCAGAAGGUAAGACAAAAGAUUAAGAAAAAUCUUAAUUUCAAAAGGAUUUGAUUCAACUUUAAUAAAAAAAGCUUAUACCACCAUUAUACUUCAUGAACUAACAUAUAUACAUAUUUGCUGGUGAAGGGUUAUAUUUACCUUUGUUUUAUUUGCAGGAAUUGGAAUCAGCAAUUCAUGAACCACAACCAGAAACAAAAUACCAGCUCCGCCGAACGAGAUCAGUUCCUUUCUGAUCUUUAUUUUGUGGUACAGAUGCUUGUAUUUUGUGUUGUUUGAGCUCUCAAUAAGUUUCAUGGCAAGUCUUGUGGUCUUGGCUUCAGGAUGGG
This 599-nucleotide long non-coding RNA is filed under the name Musa acuminata (dwarf banana). RNAcentral describes it as "long non-coding RNA (MACU_LNC003200)". Lineage: Eukaryota; Viridiplantae; Streptophyta; Magnoliopsida; Zingiberales; Musaceae. The record is from RNAcentral.